This 235-nucleotide ribosomal RNA is filed under the name uncultured bacterium. RNAcentral describes it as "partial 16S ribosomal RNA". It matches the Rfam family "Bacterial small subunit ribosomal RNA", at positions 252 to 504 of the family's 1533-position model. The record is from RNAcentral.
GUGAGGUAACGGCCCACCAAGUCGACGAUCAGUAGCCGGACUGAGAGGGUGAUCGGCCACAUUGGAACUGAGACACGGUCCAGACUCCUACGGGAGGCAGCAGUGGGGAAUAUUGCGCAAUGGGGGAAACCCUGACGCAGCAACGCCGCGUGGGUGAUGAAGGUCUUCGGAUUGUAAAGCCCUGUUUUCUGGGACGAUAAUGACGGUACCAGAGGAGGAAGCCACGGCUAACUAC